RNAcentral lists this ribosomal RNA (279 nucleotides) under uncultured Staphylococcus sp. Its description in RNAcentral is "partial 16S ribosomal RNA". It matches the Rfam family "Bacterial small subunit ribosomal RNA", at positions 83 to 355 of the family's 1533-position model. The record is from RNAcentral. Lineage: Bacteria; Bacillati; Bacillota; Bacilli; Caryophanales; Staphylococcaceae.
CCUUUGACGUUAGCGGCGGACGGGUGAGUAACACGUGGGUAACCUACCUAUAAGACUGGGAUAACUUCGGGAAACCGGAGCUAAUACCGGAUAAUAUUUCGAACCGCAUGGUUCGAUAGUGAAAGGUGGUUUUGCUAUCACUUAUAGAUGGACCUGCGCCGUAUUAGCUAGUUGGUAAGGUAACGGCUUACCAAGGCGACGAUACGUAGCCGACCUGAGAGGGUGAUCGGCCACACUGGAACUGAGACACGGUCCAGACUCCUACGGGAGGCAGCAGCC